Non-coding RNA from Pelobates cultripes (western spadefoot toad), 301 nucleotides. NCBI's taxonomy places the organism in Eukaryota, Metazoa, Chordata, Amphibia, Anura, Pelobatidae. The record is from the annotation of a GenBank genome assembly.
CUGAUAUAGACAAACUUGGAUACUUUUUGUUUUAUAUGUAAAUUUUAGGAGAGGCAGGUAUAAUUAAUAAUGUGAAAAGCACGUCAAGGAUACAGUGUGUUCACUUAUAAGAUUAAAUCAGAACUACUAACAGUAUACACGUUAAACAGGACAUAACUGCACUGAUAUAAGUAUAAUAAAGUUACAAUGUUUAUAUGUAGAUCUAAAAGUCAAAAAUAAAAAUAGAUCACACAGUAAAGAAAGCAUACACCUAAACAUGAAUGAGAACAAGUAGUAGUGAGGUGAUGUUAACCUUGAUCCC